GGGUCUCACUCAAAUUUUGUGUCAAAGUUAGCCACUCAAUUCAUUUUUUCCAACAUUGGUUUGGUACCGAAUCUUCCGUUUCCACCAACACAGAAUUUUGGCCGUGCUAUGAGUACGACAAACAGUGAAGAAAGCCUUCCGUUUCCACCAACACAGAAUUUUGGCCGUGCUAUGAGUACGACAAACAGUGAAGAAAGCGAUGGUCAACUGUUGUUCAGGCCAUGGAGGGAUCAACAUUUUGUCC
RNAcentral lists this long non-coding RNA (244 nucleotides) under Olea europaea (common olive). RNAcentral describes it as "long non-coding RNA (OEUR_LNC015441)". Lineage: Eukaryota; Viridiplantae; Streptophyta; Magnoliopsida; Lamiales; Oleaceae. The record is from RNAcentral.